Molecule: ribosomal RNA, 656 nt
Filed under: uncultured Bacteroidales bacterium
Lineage: Bacteria; Pseudomonadati; Bacteroidota; Bacteroidia; Bacteroidales
Description: bacterial SSU rRNA
Rfam family: Bacterial small subunit ribosomal RNA
Source: RNAcentral
AUACUUUGGUGGCGACCGGCGCACGGGUGCGUAACGCGUAUGUAACCUACCUAUAACAGGGGCAUAACACUGAGAAAUUGGUACUAAUUCCCCAUAAUAUUCGGAGAGGCAUCUCUCCGGGUUGAAAACUCCGGUGGUUAUAGAUGGACAUGCGUUGUAUUAGCUAGUUGGUGAGGUAACGGCUCACCAAGGCAACGAUACAUAGGGGGACUGAGAGGUUAACCCCCCACACUGGUACUGAGACACGGACCAGACUCCUACGGGAGGCAGCAGUGAGGAAUAUUGGUCAAUGGACGCAAGUCUGAACCAGCCAUGCCGCGUGCAGGAAGACGGCUCUAUGAGUUGUAAACUGCUUUUGUACGAGGGUAAACUCACCUACGUGUAGGUGACUGAAAGUAUCGUACGAAUAAGGAUCGGCUAACUCCGUGCCAGCAGCCGCGGUAAUACGGAGGAUUCAAGCGUUAUCCGGAUUUAUUGGGUUUAAAGGGUGCGUAGGCGGUUUGAUAAGUUAGAGGUGAAAUCCCGGGGCUUAACUCCGGAACUGCCUCUAAUACUGUUAGACUAGAGAGUAGUUGCGGUAGGCGGAAUGUAUGGUGUAGCGGUGAAAUGCUUAGAGAUCAUACAGAACACCGAUUGCGAAGGCAGCUUACCAAACU